RNAcentral lists this transfer RNA (71 nucleotides) under candidate division TM6 bacterium GW2011_GWF2_28_16. RNAcentral describes it as "tRNA-Gly". It matches the Rfam family "tRNA". From Rfam's summary of the family: Transfer RNA (tRNA) molecules are approximately 80 nucleotides in length. Their secondary structure includes four short double-helical elements and three loops (D, anti-codon, and T loops). Further hydrogen bonds mediate the characteristic L-shaped molecular structure. tRNAs have two regions of fundamental functional importance: the anti-codon, which is responsible for specific mRNA codon recognition, and the 3' end, to which the tRNAs corresponding amino acid is attached (by aminoacyl-tRNA synthetases). tRNAs cope with the degeneracy of the genetic code in two manners: having more than one tRNA (with a specific anti-codon) for a particular amino acid; and 'wobble' base-pairing, i.e. permitting non-standard base-pairing at the 3rd anti-codon position. The record is from RNAcentral. RNAcentral also lists the same sequence under 1 other name.
GCGGGUGUAGUACACCGGUAGUAUGUCUCCCUUCCAAGGAGAAGAAGCCAGUCCGAUUCUGGUCACCCGCU